This is a long non-coding RNA of Glycine soja, 667 nucleotides long. RefSeq lists it as uncharacterized. NCBI's taxonomy places the organism in Eukaryota, Viridiplantae, Streptophyta, Magnoliopsida, Fabales, Fabaceae. The record is from RefSeq and is a predicted model, not a curated record. The transcript is spliced from 2 exons.
GGGAAUAGUUACAUCUGGAGUUCAGUAUUACAUACAAGGCAUGGUCAUAAAAUCCAUGGGCCCAGUUAUUGUGACUGCUUUUAAUCCCCUGCGUAUGAUCAUUAUUACAACCUUGGCCUGCAUAGUCCUAUCUGAGCAACUCUACCUUGGAAGUAUUAUUGGAGCGAUAGUUGUGGUUCUUGGGCUCUAUCUAGUUGUGUGGGGAAAAUAUAAAGAAUGCCACGGAAGAUCAAUGCCACCGUCUCCGGAAAAGGAUAACUUUCUUGAGGAUCAACGACAGCUAUCGGUCACAGUUCCUAAGAAUGAUACCAAUGAUAAUAAGGGUUAAUUAUAUUUUUCAAAUCAAUAAUAAGGCUUAAUUAUAGUCCACCACCAUGAUGAAAAGAGUGAUUUUGAAAGCACAAUAUCAAUGUUCAGCAAAUCUAAGCUGGCCUCUUUCUUGAAUUAGACAAUGGUGUAGCAUUCCCGUACAAUUAUUCACACCGAUCCAAAAUUCUGAUGUCAAUGUCAUGAACAUGUUCAACCAUGCAAUUGGUGGGAUAAGUGGCAUGACGAUCGAUGGAAUCUAUCAUAUAAGUAGUGGUCACUUAGAUUUGCAUCAUUAUUGUUGAGUGACCUGAUUUUCUUUCGAUUCUCCAUAUAUACACAAUGAUGUGCUUCUGGCUAA